AAUUAAUCAAGUCACACACUAUCUUAUUUUUCUAGCAUGCAUUCAGAACAAGAUUAGGUUUCCUUUUAAUAUUUAUUUAUUCCAUACAAUGAACAUCUAUCAAUUUUUCGAAGUUGGACUGGAGAAGGGCUGUCAAGGAUCGUGCUUGAUUAGAGAAGCUUUCUCAAAAGACAGACGCUAAUCUUGCGCGGCUUAUUGCAAUUCAAACCACCCACGCCGCAGAAGUCAUGUCAGAUCGCCCUCCUGUCAUCCUCUCAGCCUUCUCUCCACGCUCACCAGUGCGAACUCUUAUUACAUCUGAAACAGGCACCAAGAAAAUCUUGCCAUCUCCAAUCUCUCCAGUCCUUGCCUCCUCAAUGAUCUUUUCUAUCACGGCCUCAACCUGGUCUUUGCUCACCACAAUCUCCAUCUUAACUUUAGCAACAAACUUGUCUUCAGAAAAUUCAGAGCCACCCUGCCUCUCUGUUGAACCACCUUGAGCACCAAAACCUCGAACAUCAGAAACAGUAACACCUCGGAUACCAAUUUUUAGCAAAGCCUUCAUUUUUAUAACAGAAAUAAUAUUAAUAACAUUAUGCAACUUGGUGUUUGAUGAAUCUACAGCUUCAGAAAUUCAACAAUUAGUAAAGUAUAUUUGAAAAUGUGUGUAGGUCAAAUGAUGAUUAAAUGAAGCAAACCUCUGACAACCUGACAGAAGUCAAGACAAUGGAUCUUAACUAGCGAAAAUAUUAUACAACCAUCGCUAUAUGAUCAAAGAUAAAGUGAUUGAAAAAUUACCCACAUCACCCUUUCACUUAUGAUCUUAAACGACAAAAUUUCAAGCAUGCGCCACAAUUUCCAUCAAGGAUUCUUAGUGAGAACUGCUUUCGGUGAAUACUCUAAUUGCAGUGCAGAUGUAAUUUCCAUGGCUGGUCAACUCUUUUGACAAAAUUUUGCAAAUCAAAGUUGCCAGACUUUAAAAAGUUUUAAAAUGCAUUGCAAAUAUAGCUAAAGAUAUCACUAAUAAUAAGCUGGUGAAUUAACUAGUCAAUCCAAAAAAUUUCCUGCAUGCAUAGCGAAGUCCAACUAUGAGGGGAUAAAGCUACUAAUCUUGCAAGAAAUUUAAGAACCUAUGUAUUGCAUCAUUGAAAAGGCGCAUAAACCAUGAAAAGGUCCAUUAGCUCUUACCGAGGAAAC
RNAcentral lists this unclassified non-coding RNA (1176 nucleotides) under Hevea brasiliensis (rubber tree). The record is from RNAcentral. Lineage: Eukaryota; Viridiplantae; Streptophyta; Magnoliopsida; Malpighiales; Euphorbiaceae.